RNAcentral lists this ribosomal RNA (279 nucleotides) under uncultured bacterium. RNAcentral's name for it is "partial 16S ribosomal RNA". It matches the Rfam family "Bacterial small subunit ribosomal RNA", at positions 506 to 784 of the family's 1533-position model. The record is from RNAcentral.
UGCCAGCAGCCGCGGUAAUACGGAGGGGGUUAGCGUUGUUCGGAAUUACUGGGCGUAAAGCGCACGUAGGCGGACUGGAAAGUAUGGGGUGAAAUCCCAGGGCUCAACCCUGGAACUGCCUCAUAAACUAUCAGUCUAGAGUUCGAGAGAGGUGAGUGGAAUUCCAAGUGUAGAGGUGAAAUUCGUAGAUAUUUGGAGGAACACCAGUGGCGAAGGCGGCUCACUGGACGACUACUGACGCUGAGACGCGAAAGCGUGGGGAGCAAACAGGAUUAGAUA